GGGGUGUAGCUCAGUUGGUUAGAGCACUAGCCUGUCACGUUAGGGGUCGCGAGUUCGAGUCUCGUCACUCC
This 71-nucleotide transfer RNA is filed under the name uncultured Fusobacterium sp. It matches the Rfam family "tRNA". Rfam says of the family: Transfer RNA (tRNA) molecules are approximately 80 nucleotides in length. Lineage: Bacteria; Fusobacteriati; Fusobacteriota; Fusobacteriia; Fusobacteriales; Fusobacteriaceae. The record is from RNAcentral.